Unclassified non-coding RNA from Microcebus murinus (gray mouse lemur), 102 nucleotides. It matches the Rfam family "Y RNA". Rfam says of the family: Y RNAs are components of the Ro ribonucleoprotein particle (Ro RNP), in association with Ro60 and La proteins. The Y RNAs and Ro60 and La proteins are well conserved, but the function of the Ro RNP is not known. The record is from Ensembl. Lineage: Eukaryota; Metazoa; Chordata; Mammalia; Primates; Cheirogaleidae.
GGUCGGUCCCAGUGCAGUGGUGUUUACAACUAAUUGAUCACAACCAGUUACAGAUUCCUUUGUUCCUUCUCCACUCCCACUGCUCCUCUUGACCAGCCUUUA